Molecule: RNase P RNA, 417 nt
Filed under: Halobacteriales archaeon SW_6_65_15
Lineage: Archaea; Methanobacteriati; Methanobacteriota; Halobacteria; Halobacteriales
Description: RNase P RNA component
Rfam family: Archaeal RNase P
About the family: Ribonuclease P (RNase P) is a ubiquitous endoribonuclease, found in archaea, bacteria and eukarya as well as chloroplasts and mitochondria.
Source: RNAcentral
GGCAGAGGGAGCCGAGUUCCCGCGGACGAGGCGCGGCAACCGCCGCGCGCACACGGUGCUGGUCGACGCCAGCACCUACGUGAGGAAAGUCCCCCCACCGUCCGGGCAGGCGACCGGGCGCAAGCCCGGAGCGGGAGACCGCUGGCUCUGGAACAGAAACGAGACCACUUCGCCCGACCGAUGAGGUGCGCGAACCCCGACCGACCGAAGGCUCGCGCCGAGUAAAGGAACGGGAAGCUAACCCACCGAGGAUCGAAGGUGAAGGACGGAUGGAACGGCGAAUCCUCGCCGGUGCAAGUCCGCGCCGCGACGCCUCGCAUCGACACCGAUGCGGGCGUCGUCAAGGUAGCCCGACAGACGGCGCGGACGCUCAGCCGAAUACUCGGACGAACAGAAGGGGGCUUACUCCCCUCAGCC